Molecule: ribosomal RNA, 468 nt
Filed under: uncultured bacterium
Lineage: Bacteria
Description: partial 16S ribosomal RNA
Rfam family: Bacterial small subunit ribosomal RNA
Source: RNAcentral
GACGAACGCUGGCGGCGUGCUUAACACAUGCAAGUCGAACGGAAAGGCCCUGCUUUUGUGGGGUGCUCGAGUGGCGAACGGGUGAGUAACACGUGAGUAACCUGCCCUUGACUUUGGGAUAACUUCAGGAAACUGGGGCUAAUACCGGAUAGGAGCUCCUGCUGCAUGGUGGGGGUUGGAAAGUUUCGGCGGUUGGGGAUGGACUCGCGGCUUAUCAGCUUGUUGGUGGGGUAGUGGCUUACCAAGGCUUUGACGGGUAGCCGGCCUGAGAGGGUGACCGGCCACAUUGGGACUGAGAUACGGCCCAGACUCCUACGGGAGGCAGCAGUGGGGAAUAUUGCACAAUGGGCGGAAGCCUGAUGCAGCAACGCCGCGUGCGGGAUGACGGCCUUCGGGUUGUAAACCGCUUUCGCCUGUGACGAAGCGUGAGUGACGGUAAUGGGUAAAGAGGCACCGGCUAACUGCGUG